This 253-nucleotide ribosomal RNA is filed under the name uncultured bacterium. RNAcentral describes it as "partial 16S ribosomal RNA". It matches the Rfam family "Bacterial small subunit ribosomal RNA", at positions 524 to 776 of the family's 1533-position model. The record is from RNAcentral.
UACGGGGGGGGCAAGCGUUGUUCGGAAUUACUGGGCGUAAAGGGUUUGUAGGUGGCUUGCUAAGUCAGACGUGAAAUCCCUCAGCUUAACUGGGGAACUGCGUCUGAUACUGGCGAGCUUGAGUGCAGGAGAGGAACGCGGAAUUCCAGGUGUAGCGGUGAAAUGCGUAGAUAUCUGGAGGAACACCGGUGGCGAAGGCGGCGUCCUGGACCAACACUGACACUGAUGAGCGAAAGCCAGGGGAGCAAACGGG